Molecule: ribosomal RNA, 802 nt
Filed under: uncultured bacterium
Lineage: Bacteria
Description: bacterial SSU rRNA
Rfam family: Bacterial small subunit ribosomal RNA
Source: RNAcentral
CCUUCGGGUGUCAGUGGCGGACGGCUGAGUAACACGUGGGUGACCUGCCCUCGAGCGGGGGAUAACUGCCCGAAAGGGUGGCUAAUACCGCAGAUCUCCGGGCUUCGGUGUCUGGAGUGAACCUUUGGGGUUUGAGGAGGGGCCCGCGGCCGAUUAGCUAGCUGGUGGGGUAACGGCCUACCAGGGCGACGAUCGGUAGCUGGUCUGAGAGGAUGAUCAGCCAGACUGGGACUCCGAGACGGCCCAGACUCCUACGGGAGGCAGCAGUUAGGAAUUUUGGGCAAUGGGCGAAAGCCUGACCCAGCAACGCCGCGUGGGUGAUGAAGGCCUUCGGGUUGUAAAGCCCUUUUCCAGGGGAAGAUAGUGACGGUACCCUGGGAAGAAGCCCCGGCUAACUACGUGCCAGCAGCCGCGGUAAUACGUAGGGGGCAAGCGUUGUCCGGAUUUAUUGGGCGUAAAGCGCUCGCAGGCGGUUCGAUGCGUCGUGCGUGAAAGACCCCGGCUCAACUGGGGAGGGUCGUGCGAUACGGUCGGACUGGAGGCCAGUAGGGGGACGCGGAAUUCCGGGUGUAGUGGUGGAAUGCGUAGAGAUCCGGAGGAACACCAGCGGCGAAGGCGGCGUCCUGGACUGGUCCUGACGCUCUGGAGCGAAAGCGUGGGGAGCGAUCCGGAUUAGAUACCCGGGUAGUCCACGCUGUAAACGAUGCGCACUAGGUGUCGGGGGUAUCGACCCCCUCGGUGCCGCAGCUAACGCGAUAAGUGCGCCGCCUGGGGACUACGGCCGCAAGGCUAAAACUCAAAG